AACUUUCAGCAACGGAUCACUUGGUUCUGGCAUCGAUGAAGAACGCAGCGAAAUGCGAUAAGUAAUGUGAGUUGCAGAAUUCAGUGAAUCAUCGAAUCUUUGAACGCACAUUGCGCCCCUUGGUAUUCCGAGGGGCAUGCCUGUUCGAGCGUCAUUAUAACCACUCAAGCCUCGGCUUGGUCUUGGGGUUCGCGGUCUCGCGGCUCUUAAAAUCAGUGGCAGUGCCGUCUGGCUCUAAGCGUAGUAAUUCUCUCGCUAUAGAGUUCCGGUGGUUACUUGCCAAAACCCCUAAUUUUUUAACGGUUGACCUCGGAUCAGGUAGGGAUACCCGCUGAACUUAAGCAUAUCAAUAAGCGGAGGCU
RNAcentral lists this unclassified non-coding RNA (362 nucleotides) under uncultured Meliniomyces. Its description in RNAcentral is "sequence contains ITS2". The stretch from base 1 to 154 matches the Rfam family "5.8S ribosomal RNA". The record is from RNAcentral. Lineage: Eukaryota; Fungi; Ascomycota; Leotiomycetes; Helotiales; Helotiaceae.